Mercurialis annua (annual mercury) is the source of this 107-nucleotide small nucleolar RNA. NCBI's taxonomy places the organism in Eukaryota, Viridiplantae, Streptophyta, Magnoliopsida, Malpighiales, Euphorbiaceae. The record is from RefSeq and is a predicted model, not a curated record.
AAGCAAUGAUGUGAACAUUGAGCAAGAAGCAUCUUGAAGCGCUCCCACGCCUCAUGGAAUGGUUCACCAUCCAAUUGAGUGAAAUUAUAUAUCUUGCCGCGAAGGUC